GGCCGGUUAGCUCAGUGGGUUGAGCGCAGUGCUGGUAACACCGAGAUCGCGGGUUCAAUUCACGUUCGGUCCG
This 73-nucleotide transfer RNA is filed under the name Apaloderma vittatum (bar-tailed trogon). It matches the Rfam family "tRNA". Rfam says of the family: Transfer RNA (tRNA) molecules are approximately 80 nucleotides in length. Their secondary structure includes four short double-helical elements and three loops (D, anti-codon, and T loops). The record is from Rfam by way of RNAcentral. Lineage: Eukaryota; Metazoa; Chordata; Aves; Trogoniformes; Trogonidae.